RNAcentral lists this long non-coding RNA (2155 nucleotides) under Homo sapiens (human). RNAcentral describes it as "HSALNT0051580". The record is from RNAcentral. Lineage: Eukaryota; Metazoa; Chordata; Mammalia; Primates; Hominidae.
AUGGGAUUUAAGCCUGAAUUCUAAGACUACCCUUUUGAGAUCUACUCUAGAGAUGUACUCAUUGAUCUUGUUUUCUCCUUUGUAUACAAGAGACUCCUAUCAGAUGGGAAAUGCCAACUGCUGCCAUGUAGACCACAGAUAAGGGGGAGCUGAAGACUGAACUCUGUCCACCAUUCUUUGUUCUAAAUUUCUUCCUGAGGGGCCUAGAGAAAUUCACAUCCACAGGCCACACCUUAACAUUUUUUUUUGUUAACCCUAAGUUUUUAGACAAAGCCUUGCUUCCUUAACCAAUUGCAAAUCAAAGAAUCUCUGAAUCUACGUAUGACCUGUAAACCCCCUGCAUCAAGAUAUCCUGCCUUUUGGGGCCAAACCAAUGUAACCUCCAUGUAUUGAUUUACAGUUUUGCCUGUGUAAACCAAAAGGUGACUGAGGUAGGUGUCUCAAUUGAUUAGAGGUUUAUUUAGCCAAAGUGGAGGACAUGCCUGGGAAAACCACAAAUCAUAGGAGAAUUUGUGAUCUACGCUUUUGCCAAGGGUGUCGUGAACUUCAGUAUUUAAAGGGGAAAGAGCAAAUAGGAGGGAGGGAGGCAGUGAGGCAGAUCAUUACAUUCUUGUGAGGCUCUAAGUAGCCUUACUAAAUCUACGUUUUACAUAUGAAAAUAGGGAGUAGUGGAAAAGUCAAUAAUGCAUUGUCUCAUUCCCAAUAAAUCUAUAUUUUAUAUAAGAUACAUUUUAGGGAGGCAGAAAUUACAGGCAAAAGCAUAAAUCAAUACAUGGAAGGUUUACAUUGGUUUGGCCCAGAAAGGUAGGACAUCUUGAAGUAGGGGCUUCCAGGUCAAAGGUGGAUCCAAAGGUUUUCUGAUUGGCAAUUGAUUGAAAGACUUAAGCUUUGCCUGAAGAGUUUGAAGUUAGCAUAAAGAAAUGCUUGAGUUGAGAUAAGGGGUGCUGUGGAAGCCAGGGUUCUUGUCAUGUAGCUGAAGCUUCCAGAUAGGAGGUUUCAGAGAGAAUAGAUGGUAAAUUUCCCCUACUGGGCCUUACAAGGUGUCAGACUCUCCAGAAGAAGACCUAGCAAGGGAAGGAGAUUCUUUACAGAUUGCAAAUUUCUCUCACAGAGACAGCUUUGCAGAGUCAUUUCAAAAUAUGUAAAAAAAUACAUUUUGGGGUAAAACACUUUGAUUUCCUUCAGGGCUUACUGUCUGUCAUGUGAUGCCAUACCAGAGUCAGGUUGGAAUUUGGUGUCCAAAGAGUCUGUUUGGUCAGUCUUGUGAUCUCUAUUUUAAUGUUAACAUUGGUUGGUUGUGCCUAAAUUCCAAAGAGAGGAGGGUAUAACGAGGCCUGUCCAGCUUUCCCUUCCCAUCACACCUGAGCUAGUUUUUCAGGUUUCUUUGGGACCACCUUGCAAGAGAGGGAUCCAUUUAGUCAGCUGAGGGCUUAGAAUUUUAAUUUUGGAUUACAAGGUAAACAAAAACAUUUUAUUCUCUCUUAAUGUUACAUGAAAAUCUUGUUCAAAAGAGAAAACCAAAUUUACCUUUGUAUUUAGUGUAUUAUUAAAAGCUAAUUGUAUGUAUGUAUGUAUAUGUAUAUGUGUUUGUGUGUAAGAAAUGUUAGUUUGAUUUAACCAGUUUUCACAGCUGAAUACUUAUUCUAUAAAAACUUUACAGAUUAUGCAGUUUAUAUAUAGUUCAAACUACUGAAUGAAAAGGUAGGCCCCACAGAUGCAAAACUACUGUACCCAUCAAUCCAAGGUAAAGGUAGAUUUACACACUGUACAGCACUUUGCAUGGCUGGGGUGGUGGUCAGUUCUGAGUAUAAACUUCAACAUUGUACAGAAAUAAGGUUUUGAUUUUUUUUCACUCUUCAUACAUUCAAUAUGAUUGCAAACUCAGAAGCCUAACUAAUAAUAAGUGAUAUGGUUUGGCUAUAUACCCACCCAAAUCUCACCUUGAAUUGUCAUAAUCCCUAUGUGUCAAGGGUGGGGCCGGGUGGAGAUAACUGAAUCUUGGGGACAGUUCUCCCCAUACUGUUCUUGUGGUAGUGAAUAAGUCCUAUGAGAUCUGAUGGUUUUAUAAAUAGGAGUUCCUCUGCACAAGCACUCUUGCCUGCUGCCAUGUAGGACAUGGCUUUGCUUCUCCUUUGCCAUCUGCCAUGAUUGUGAG